UAAAGUGCGAUAUGUAGUGCGAUUUGCAUGAAUCUGUGAGUCAUCUAAUCUUUGAACGCAACUUGCGCCUCUCUGAGGCAUGUCUGUUUGAGUGCCGCAUACAUCUAUGCAGCAAUGCGAUUUGAUUGACGUCUCCGGACUCGGUCUAAACGUAGCCAGAUAGUGGCCAAUGCUACUAGUCCGAGUGCUAAGCAUUCUUGGAUCUAGUUGGUAUGAACCACAAACUAACUAUCUUUUUUACUUUGGCCUCAAAUCAGGCAAGACUACCCGCUGAACUUAA
This 280-nucleotide unclassified non-coding RNA is filed under the name uncultured fungus. RNAcentral's name for it is "sequence contains ITS1". The stretch from base 1 to 97 matches the Rfam family "5.8S ribosomal RNA", at positions 49 to 154 of the family's 154-position model. The record is from RNAcentral. Lineage: Eukaryota; Fungi.